Molecule: unclassified non-coding RNA, 233 nt
Filed under: Hevea brasiliensis (rubber tree)
Lineage: Eukaryota; Viridiplantae; Streptophyta; Magnoliopsida; Malpighiales; Euphorbiaceae
Source: RNAcentral
UGGACAGGGACCAAAACUCGCGAUUCCAAGAUUUCUGAAGCCACGACGCUGUCGAACAGAUCGCCGGUCUGGGCUGCGAUGACGGUGGCUGACGGAGCUGCAGCGGCUGGCGAAUGCGACGUCCAGUGGCUGACGACGAGACGCGGCGGCCGGCGGACAGGUAGUAAGGACGGGAUGCGGCUGCUGAAGCGAGAGGGAGAAUGGGGUUGCAGCUGCGAAAAAGUCGAGAAAGA